This 1883-nucleotide ribosomal RNA is filed under the name Harpyrhynchoides charadrius. RNAcentral's name for it is "SSU rRNA". It matches the Rfam family "Eukaryotic small subunit ribosomal RNA". Lineage: Eukaryota; Metazoa; Arthropoda; Arachnida; Trombidiformes; Harpirhynchidae. The record is from RNAcentral.
UCAUAUGCUUGUCUCAAAGAUUAAGCCAUGCAUGUCUAAGUACAUACCAUUUUUAAGGUGAAACCGCGAAUAGCUCAUUAAAUCAGUUACGGUUCAUUGGAUAUUAAACUUUACAUGGAUAACUGUGGUAAUUCUAGAGCUAAUACAUGCAUUAUAGCUUUUUUCUUAUGAAAAAAGUGCAUUUAUUAGACCAAGACCAAUGAUUGUGCAUAUUAAAAAUAUGUAUAAUCUUAAAAUAUGGUGACUCUGAAUAACUGAGCUAAUCGCAUGGCCUAUGAGCCGGCGAUGUAUCCUUCAAGCGUCUGCCUUAUCAACUUUCGAUGGUAGGUUAUGCGCCUACCAUGGUUGUAACGGGUGACGGGGAAUCAGGGUUCGAUUCCGGAGAGGGAGCCUGAGAAACGGCUACCACAUCCAAGGAAGGCAGCAGGCACGCAAAUUACCCACUCCCAGCACGGGGAGGUAGUGACGAAAAAUAACAAUACGGGACUCAAUCGAGUUUCCGUAAUUGGAAUGAGUACAAUAUAAAUCCUUUAACGAGUAUCUAUUGGAGGGCAAGUCUGGUGCCAGCAGCCGCGGUAAUUCCAGCUCCAAUAGCGUAUAUUAAAGUUGUUGCGGUUAAAAAGCUCGUAGUUGUAUCUCAGCUCAUGUUAAACAGUCCGUCGAUUAUAACCUUGACUUAUGUAAGGAUUAUUAUAGUUGAGGAAUAAACCUGUUUGACUGAGCAUAACCGAUUUGUUUAUUGAUGCUCUUUACCGAGUGUCAUUAACGAUCGGUAUCUUUACUUUGAAAAAAUUAGAGUGCUCAAAGCAGGCGCUUAAAGCCUGAAUAUUCUUGCAUGGAAUAAUGGAAUAGGACCUAGGUUCUAUUCUGUUGGUCUUUUUUGAACCUAAGGUAAUGAUUAAGAGGGACAGACGGGGGCAUUCGUAUUGCGGCGCUAGAGGUGAAAUUCUUGGACCGUCGCAAGACGAACUACAGCGAAAGCAUUUGCCAAGAAUGUUUUCAUUAAUCAAGAACGAAAGUUAGAGGUUCGAAGGCGAUCAGAUACCGCCCUAGUUCUAACCAUAAACGAUGCCAACCAGCGAUCAGCCUGAGUCUACUUUUUAUGACUCGGCUGGAAGCUUCCGGGAAACCAAAGUUUUUGGGUUCCGGGGGAAGUAUGGUUGCAAAGCUGAAACUUAAAGGAAUUGACGGAAGGGCACCACCAGGAGUGGAGCCUGCGGCUUAAUUUGACUCAACACGGGAAAACUCACCCGGCCCGGACACUGAGAGGAUUGACAGAUUGAGAGCUCUUUCUUGAUUCAGUGGGUGGUGGUGCAUGGCCGUUCUUAGUUGGUGGAGUGAUUUGUCAGGUUAAUUCCGAUAACGAACGAGACUCUAGCCUACUAAAUAGACUUAACAUCUCAUUAUCUUUCAUUAUCUGCAAUCACUUUUUUUCAAAUUUGAUUGUAUGAUAUGAUUGAGCGCGAUGGAAGAACUUCUUAGAGGGACAGGUGGCGUUUAUGCAGCCACACGAGACAGAGCAAUAACAGGUCUGUGAUGCCCUUAGAUGUCCGGGGCCGCACGCGCGCUACAAUGAAGGCGACAACAUGCGUAAUUUUCCCUCUCUGAGAAGAGUGGGUAACCAUAUGAAAAUCCUUCGUAAUAGGGACUGGGCAUUGUAAUUAUUGCCCACGAACGAGGAAUUCCCAGUAAGCGUGAGUCAUAAGCUUGCGUUGAUUACGUCCCUGCCCUUUGUACACACCGCCCGUCGCUACUACCGAUUGAAUGAUUUAGUGAAGUCCUCAGACUGGCUUGUUCGACUACUUGAUUGUGGUCGGGCUAUGCUGGAAAGAUGCCCAAACUUGAUCAUUUAGAGGAAGUAAAAGUCGUAACAAGGUUUUCGU